This 1853-nucleotide ribosomal RNA is filed under the name Clostridia bacterium. RNAcentral describes it as "partial 23S ribosomal RNA". It matches the Rfam family "Bacterial large subunit ribosomal RNA", at positions 1 to 1976 of the family's 2925-position model. Lineage: Bacteria; Bacillati; Bacillota; Clostridia. The record is from RNAcentral.
GAUCAAGCGUUGAAGGGCUUCUGACGGAUGCCUUGGCGUAGAGAGGCGAUGAAGGACGUGGCAAGCUGCGAUAAGAACCGGGGAGGCGCUAGCACCCUUUGAUCCGGUUAUUUCCGAAUGGGGAAACCCACCUUUGCGGUCUUCCAAUUCAUGUUCGGUCUUCGGACCGGGCGCGGAUUGGCGGAUUGCUUAAAGGUAUAAUGACCUGAAUACAUAGGGUUCAUUAAGCGAACCCGGGGAACUGAAACAUCUCAGUACCCGGAGGAAAGGACAUCAACCGAGACUCCCGUAGUAGUGGCGAGCGAACCGGGACCAGGCCAGUGCUCUUGUGAAAUAAAGUCGAACGAUCUGGAAAGGUCGGCCAUAGCGGGUGACAGCCCCGUAGACGUCAAACAGCAAGAGACUCGAGUAGGGCGGGACACGUGAAAUCCUGUCUGAACAUGGGGGGACCACCCUCCAAGCCUAAGUACUCCUCUACGACCGAUAGUGAACAAGUACCGUGAGGGAAAGGUGAAAAGCACCCCAACGAGGGGAGUGAAACAGAUCCUGAAAUCGGAAGCCUACAAGCAGUCGGAGCCCCCAUGCGGGGUGACGGCGUACCUUUUGUAUAAUGGGUCAGCGACUUCAUGUGUCGAGCAAGCUUAAGCCGUUAGGUGUAGGCGCAGCGAAAGCGAGUCUGAAUAGGGCGCCAAGUUCGACGUAUGACGACCCGAAACCAGGUGAUCUAUCCAUGAGCAGGAUGAAGGUUGGGUAACACCAACUGGAGGUCCGAACCCGUGAAUGUUGAAAAAUUCUGGGAUGACUUGUGGAUAGGGGUGAAAGGCCAAUCAAACCUGGACAUAGCUGGUUCUCCGCGAAAUCUAUUUAGGUAGAGCGUCCGACGAAUUCCUUGGGGGGUAGAGCACUGGAUGGUUGCGGGCUGCGCGAGCGGUACCAAUACUAACCAAACUCCGAAUACCCAAGAGAACUAUCGGGCAGACACACGGCGGGUGCUAACGUCCGUCGUGAAAAGGGAAACAACCCUAACCAUCAUCUAAGGCCCCCAAGUACUGGCUAAGUGGGAAACGAUGUGGGAUUGCUUUGACAAUCAGGAGGUUGGCUUAGAAGCAGCCAUCCUUUAAAGAAAGCGUAACAGCUCACUGAUCAAGCGAUCCUGCGCGGAAAAUGUAACGGGGCUCAAGCCAGUCGCCGAAGGUAUGGGUUUGCAGUUUACUGCAAGCGGUAGCGGAGCGUUCCGUAAGCCGGUGAAGGUCAGGCGUGAGCCUGGCUGGAGGUAUCGGAAGUGAGAAUGCUGACAUGAGUAACGAUAAACAGUGUGAGAAACACUGUCGCCGAAAGACCAAGGGUUCCUGCGUAAAGCUAAUCUGCGCAGGGUUAGUCGGCCCCUAAGGCGAGGCUGAAAAGCGUAGUCGAUGGGAAGCAGGUAAAUAUUCCUGCACCAGCUGGAAGUGACGGAUGGUGUAAGUUGUCAGGGCUUAUUGGAUUGUCCUGGCAGCGAAGCUGUCCCUGGAAAUAACUCCAGCAGAGACCGUACCCGAAACCGACACAGGUGGUCAGGUAGAGCAUACCAAGGCGCUUGAGAGAACUGUGCUGAAGGAACUCGGCAAAUUGCACGCGUAACUUCGGAAUAAGCGUGACUCACCUCGGGCAACCGAGACUGAGUGGCACAAGCCAGGGGGUAGCGACUGUUUAGCAAAAACACAGGGCUCUGCGAAGCAGCAAUGCGACGUAUAGGGUCUGACGCCUGCCCGGUGCCUGAAGGUUAAAGGGAGUUGUGAAAGCGACGAACUGAAGCCCAGGUAAACGGCGGCCGUAACUAUAACGGUCCUAAGGUAGCGAAAUUCCUUGUCGGG